AUUGAACGCUGGCGGCAGGCCUAACACAUGCAAGUCGAACGGUAACAGGAAGAAGCUUGCUUCUUUGCUGACGAGUGGCGGACGGGUGAGUAAUGUCUGGGAAACUGCCUGAUGGAGGGGGAUAACUACUGGAAACGGUAGCUAAUACCGCAUAAUGUCGCAAGACCAAAGAGGGGGACCUUCGGGCCUCUUGCCAUCGGAUGUGCCCAGAUGGGAUUAGCUAGUAGGUGGGGUAACGGCUCACCGAGGCGACGAUCCCUAGCUGGUCUGAGAGGAUGACCAGCCACACUGGAACUGAGACACGGUCCAGACUCCUACGGGAGGCAGCAGUGGGGAAUAUUGCACAAUGGGCGCAAGCCUGAUGCAGCUAUGCCGCGUGUAUGAAGAAGGCCUUCGGGUUGUAAAGUACUUUCAGCGGGGAGGAAGGGAGUAAAGUUAACACCUUUGCUCAUUGACGUUACCCGCAGAAGAAGCACCGGCUAACUCCGUG
This 490-nucleotide ribosomal RNA is filed under the name uncultured bacterium. Its description in RNAcentral is "partial 16S ribosomal RNA". It matches the Rfam family "Bacterial small subunit ribosomal RNA", at positions 30 to 507 of the family's 1533-position model. The record is from RNAcentral.